CAGAUCAAAGAACGUCGAAUCGGAAUAAAAGAUUCCCAAAGCCAAGAACCCCAAGACACCUUCGGAUAAUGAUGACAAUGCUUGUUGAAGGCCAACGCAGUAGUGACAUUCCCUUGCAACGAGGGUUUCCAGAAACGCACAUCUCCCUCAUAACCAAGAGGAGUGAGUAAAAUAUCACACACUAUCUCAGGAAAAGCAUUAACAAAGGCUUGCGUGAAAUGCC
This 223-nucleotide long non-coding RNA is filed under the name Salvia miltiorrhiza (redroot sage). RNAcentral describes it as "long non-coding RNA (SMIL_LNC010577)". Lineage: Eukaryota; Viridiplantae; Streptophyta; Magnoliopsida; Lamiales; Lamiaceae. The record is from RNAcentral.